UAGGGAAUCUUCCACAAUGGGCGCAAGCCUGAUGGAGCAACACCGCGUGAGGGAAGAAGGGUUUCGGCUCGUAAAGCUCUGUUGUUGGAGAAGAACGUGCGUGAGAGUAACUGUUCACGCAGUGACGGUAUCCAACCAGACAGUCAUCGCCAACUACGCGCCAGCUACCGCGGUAAUACGUAGGUGGCAAGCGUUAUCCGGAUUUAUUGGGCGUAAAGCGAGCGCAGGCGGUCGCUUAGGUCUGAUGUGAAAGCCUUCGGCUUAACCGAAGAAGUGCAUCGGAAACCGGGCGACUUGAGUGCAGAAGAGGACAGUGGAACUCCAUGUGUAGCGGUGGAAUGCGUAGAUAUAUGGAAGAACACCAGUGGCGAAGGCGGCUGUCUGGUCUGCAACUGACGCUGAGGCUCGAAAGCAUGGGUAGCGAACAGG
This 429-nucleotide ribosomal RNA is filed under the name uncultured bacterium. RNAcentral's name for it is "bacterial SSU rRNA". It matches the Rfam family "Bacterial small subunit ribosomal RNA", at positions 355 to 776 of the family's 1533-position model. The record is from RNAcentral.